This 497-nucleotide ribosomal RNA is filed under the name uncultured bacterium. Its description in RNAcentral is "partial 16S ribosomal RNA". It matches the Rfam family "Bacterial small subunit ribosomal RNA", at positions 28 to 507 of the family's 1533-position model. The record is from RNAcentral.
GAUGAACGCUGGCGGCGUGCCUAAUACAUGCAAGUCGAGCGAACGGACGAGAAGCUUGCUUUUCUGAUGUUAGCGGCGGACGGGUGAGUAACACGUGGAUAACCUACCUAUAAGACUGGGAUAACUUCGGGAAACCGGAGCUAAUACCGGAUAAUAUUUUGAACCGCAUGGUUCAAAAGUGAAAGACGGCCUUGCUGUCACUUAUAGAUGGAUCCGCGCUGCAUUAGCUAGUUGGUAAGGUAACGGCUUACCAAGGCAACGAUGCAUAGCCGACCUGAGAGGGUGAUCGGCCACACUGGAACUGAGACACGGUCCAGACUCCUACGGGAGGCAGCAGUAGGGAAUCUUCCGCAAUGGGCGAAAGCCUGACGGAGCAACGCCGCGUGAGUGAUGAAGGUCUUCGGAUCGUAAAACUCUGUUAUUAGGGAAGAACAUAUGUGUAAGUAACUGUGAACAUCUUGACGGUACCUAAUCAGAAAGCCACGGCUAACUACGUG